AGUGAGAUAGCUGGAUCAAAUGGUGGUUCCAUUCCCAAUUUUCUGAGGAAUCUCCAUACUGCUUUCCAUAGUGGUUGCACUAAUUUUCAGUCCCAAUAGCAAU
RNAcentral lists this microRNA precursor (103 nucleotides) under Marmota monax (woodchuck). Lineage: Eukaryota; Metazoa; Chordata; Mammalia; Rodentia; Sciuridae. The record is from RNAcentral.